AGAGUUUGAUCCUGGCUCAGGACGAACGCUGGCGGCGUGCUUAACACAUGCAAGUCGAGCGGAAAGGCCCUUCGGGGUACUCGAGCGGCGAACGGGUGAGUAACACGUGAGCAACCUGCCCCUGGCUCUGGGAUAGCCUCCGGAAACGGGGAUUAAUACCGGACAUGACCUCGGAAGGCAUCUUCUGGGGUGGAAAGUUU
Molecule: ribosomal RNA, 200 nt
Filed under: uncultured bacterium
Lineage: Bacteria
Description: partial 16S ribosomal RNA
Rfam family: Bacterial small subunit ribosomal RNA
Source: RNAcentral